RNAcentral lists this ribosomal RNA (254 nucleotides) under uncultured bacterium. RNAcentral describes it as "partial 16S ribosomal RNA". It matches the Rfam family "Bacterial small subunit ribosomal RNA", at positions 524 to 776 of the family's 1533-position model. The record is from RNAcentral.
UACGGGGGGGGGCAAGCGUUGUUCGGAAUUACUGGGCGUAAAGGGCUCGUAGGCGGCCAACUAAGUCAGACGUGAAAUCCCUCGGCUUAACCGGGGAACUGCGUCUGAUACUGGAUGGCUCGAGUUUGGGAGAGGGAUGCGGAAUUCCAGGUGUAGCGGUGAAAUGCGUAGAUAUCUGGAGGAACACCGGUGGCGAAGGCGGCAUCCUGGACCAACACUGACGCUGAGGCACGAAGGCCAGGGGAGCAAACGGG